RNAcentral lists this long non-coding RNA (1412 nucleotides) under Cottoperca gobio. RNAcentral describes it as "lncRNA (ENSCGOG00000023418.1)". The record is from RNAcentral. Lineage: Eukaryota; Metazoa; Chordata; Actinopteri; Perciformes; Bovichtidae.
GAGGGAUCUCCAAGCCGUGUGAAAAAUGCCACUGAUCAUCAUGCUCAAGCUUCUUUUUUUUUUUCUUUCUGUCAUGGCUGUCGCCGGCGAGAAAGGAGAGCCCAGCAGUCUCCAUCAUCAGCCUCAGACCCCGGGGACAGAAGAAAUCACAUUAUAUCUGCUGUCACACAAAGUCACUGUCAAGGUGUGGCGGAGAGAGCACACAGCAGCUCUGGUGUGAUGCUGGGGACCCAGAAAUACCUCAGACGCCUCAUCUCAGCCCCCGGCUAGAACCAUGCUGCAUAUCUAACAAGGAGCGGACAGAGUAUCUAUCAUCCUCCGGGGGGGAUGGUGGCGAUGGUGUGAGGGGGGUGGGGUGCGAGCCCCCACGCUUUGCUCUGCAGCAGAACGCUCGUUCCUCUGGAAGGACGCCAGUCGACUGGGGAUCAAACCUUGGCCCUCGGCCCGGCAGCAGGCUUCCACAGCUCCCUCCCUUCACCACCAGAUCUGGGCCACUUCCAUGUGGGCCAGCAGCAGGCAGCUUCUUUUUUUUCCUUUUUUUUUUCCGCUGGUAUCUAAUCUGGUGUUUGUUCUUGCGAGUGUGCCGUCGAUGAGCUAGAGAAAGGAUGUUGGGGAGGAAACCGAGGGGGUUGAAACAUGCCGGUAUCAGAGAUACCAGCGGAGCCUCUGUGGCCUUAAGGUGAUGUUUGCCCAUCAGAUUUCUGGGGAUUGAAUCGGUAGGAUAAAACAUACAGGCCACCAAGCACAGCGGGGUUCUUUCAGCCAGUUGGGGUUUUCUAUAACACCGAUCAAACAGGUUAGAAAUGUGUAGUAGCUAUCCCCGUCUCUCCACUGUACACAAGCUGAGAUAAAGUGUGGGGUGAGUUUAGGCCGGCUGACAAGAGACUGGAAAACCCUCCUUUUCAAACGACGUGCAAUUUCUUUGGCUGGGAAAAAGCAGAAACACGGCCGACAAGCAAAAUGUGUCUAAAGGAGAAUCUCACCAUCUCGAUAUCUCAGCCAAGUCACAGGAGGUAAUAGAGGUAAGAGUGAGUUCAUAAUCAUAACAGACUCAAUAUUUCAUCGCUUUGCAGAUACAUUUCUGCCUCGCUCGGCCAAUUGUGCUGACUCGAAAUUCGAGCUUUACGACUUUUAAUGGUAACAUUCAGAAGCAAGAUACUUUUAGUCAAAACACUGGUGGCCUCUUGGGGCCGGUGAUGCUUUACCUCAAGGUUUUCAGAUUGUACAGCCUGCCUGGAUUCAGACACACUGAAAAAAUAAUGUAAUAACACAUAAAUAAUGCAGCAUAAAAAGCUUUGUGGGAUGUGUUUACUGUCUAAACUUAUUAUGUUCACAUCAAUCAGCGAAAUUACCAGAUACUGUUCAUCAUGUAAAACCAUCCAGGAAGCAAAUUCAGCUUGCUUUACUUAGCG